Long non-coding RNA from Eurytemora carolleeae, 208 nucleotides. RefSeq lists it as uncharacterized. NCBI's taxonomy places the organism in Eukaryota, Metazoa, Arthropoda, Copepoda, Calanoida, Temoridae. The record is from RefSeq and is a predicted model, not a curated record. The transcript has 2 exons.
GUGAAUUUCGUUAAAUAUUCAACUGUAAUUUUUCAGAAGUUAAAAAACGUAUUUCAAUACUGAUCAACAAAUAAGUCAACCCCGACCAUACUUAAAUAAUUCGAAAUAAAGAUUUUGUUAUCGAAUUUCUGUGACGGGGUUACUCUGUUGUGUGUGUAUUGUUCGGCCAUCGGGAAAGAAUCGUCUGGGGAUAAUAAACACCCCCCUU